UUACACAUCUGCAUAGAAUUAACCACCCCACCUGGGAGACAUACCAUGUUACCAGAUCAUUCCGUCAUUAAGUUUUUAGUUUUGUCAAAACCCCACAUCUUUUUUAUUGACACAAAAAUGAGUCAUGCAGCUAAAAGCUAAGAUCCAACUACUACUUUUCGUCCAUAUAAAGGGUGAAGAAGCAUUGUUGGAUCUCAGAAAAGCUUGUUGUUUCUGACUGAUCUUAGGUGUUUUUGAACAUUCUGAAGCAUUCAUUUCAUUGCUUAAAACCAAAGAAAGGAGGUAGAUAUGAAACUGCAACUUUGGAAAAUCGACAUUUACGAAGAAAUUGCACCCAAAAUAUGCUGUUGGAAUUCCAGUCAAUUCAGGAGUAACUUCAACCAGACUUUUACCUGAUCCGGCUGGCCAAUACAGUGUUACGCCUUCUCCUUCCAAUGAGCACUCCAAAAUCAGAAAGAGCAGAGCAAAUUCAGUAAUCCCUGGGAUGAACAAAUUUGGAGAACUGAUGUACAAUUUCGCUCAAGGAUUCCGAGAGCAUGUGAAAUUAGGACCCAAGUUCACUGAAACUUUGAAAGGGAAGUUGAGGCUCGGAGCAAGAAUCCUUCAGGUAGGCAGACUGGAAAAAGUUUUCCAGCUAAACUUCAAUGUUAGCAACGGCGAAAAGCUCUUAACGGCCUCUCAAUGCUAUUUAUCGACCACAGCUGGACCGAUGGCAGGCCUCCUGUUUAUUUCCACUGAUAAAAUUGUUGGAAAAAUUGGUCGACUUUGGCACGAGUUUUGAGUGGGACCCAGUUGUUUUAUUUGAAAGAUAAAAGUUGAUUUGUAUUCUCUUCCGUGAGUACAUCGAAAUCAUAUACUUACUUGCUAAAGUUGAUACUCGGGUGAAUGAGAAAUUGAGGUUCAAAGUGUGCCACUCAAAAGGGAGUUUAUGUGGGAAAAAUGAAUUUGUCUCACAUAGGAAAAAGAUGAGGAACUCCAAAAGUCAUUGCCAUUAAUGGUAGCCUAGCCUAUAAAUAGUGACUCAUUUUCCUCAUUUCAACACACAAACAAAAAAAAAAAAAAAGCAAAAACUUUCAAGUUUAGAAUAUACUAGAAAUUCAUUUGCGUAGAGUUCUCUCUUGGUGGUGGUGUAGUUCAGGCACUAGUUCAGUUCGCCGGAGUGGUUUCUGCGGUGCUCGGAAGCUACUAGUUUUACCGUUGUAUCCUGAAAAAUGGACGCUCGUUUUAAACCUCAAGCACAGACGGUGAG
Olea europaea var. sylvestris is the source of this 1249-nucleotide long non-coding RNA. RefSeq lists it as uncharacterized. Lineage: Eukaryota; Viridiplantae; Streptophyta; Magnoliopsida; Lamiales; Oleaceae. The record is from RefSeq and is a predicted model, not a curated record. The transcript has 3 exons.